AUACGUAGGGGGCAAGCGUUAUCCGGAUUUACUGGGUGUAAAGGGAGCGUAGACGGCAAAGCAAGUCUGAAGUGAAAGCCCCGGGCUCAACCCGGGAAUUGCUUUGGAAACUGUUUAGCUGGAGUGCAGGAGAGGUAAGCGGAAUUCCUAGUGUAGCGGUGAAAUGCGUAGAUAUUAGGAGGAACACCGGCGGCGAAGGCGGCGUACUGGACUGUAACUGCCGUUGAGGCUCGAAAGCGUGGGGAGCAAACAGGAUUAUAUACCCUGGUAGUCCACGCCGUAAACGAUGAUUACUAGGUGUUGGUUGUCAUAGACAAUCGGUGCCGCAGCAAACGCAAUAAGUAAUCCACCUGGGGAGUACGUUCGCAAGAAUGAAACUCAAAGGAAUUGACGGGG
RNAcentral lists this ribosomal RNA (396 nucleotides) under uncultured bacterium. RNAcentral describes it as "partial 16S ribosomal RNA". It matches the Rfam family "Bacterial small subunit ribosomal RNA", at positions 523 to 918 of the family's 1533-position model. The record is from RNAcentral.